RNAcentral lists this long non-coding RNA (2541 nucleotides) under Phoenix dactylifera (date palm). Its description in RNAcentral is "long non-coding RNA (PDAC_LNC000661)". Lineage: Eukaryota; Viridiplantae; Streptophyta; Magnoliopsida; Arecales; Arecaceae. The record is from RNAcentral.
UACAUGCUCCGUAUCCGAUGCGGAUCAAGUAAAAUCUACCCCAUUAGGGUUAGGUUGGGUCGGGUACUUGAUGAGGCGUACCAAAAUAGGGAGGGGGAGGGGGAGAGAGAGAGAAAGAGAGAGAGAGAGUGGAGAGGGGNNNNNNNNNNNNNNNNNNNNAGAGAGAGAGAGAGAGAGAANANANANAGAGAGAGAGAGAUGGAGAGGGAGGGAGAGAAAAUCCUAACCCUAACCCUAGGAGGUCGGAAAGAAGGGGAGAAAGAGGGAUACGUUUUCUAACAUAAUAAUGACGUACCUAAACACCAAAAUCUAAGGCCCGGAGGUUGGAACCCCAUUCAGGUAGGUAAGGUUUUCAAGAUUAGCUUCCAGGUCAAUGGGUCAGUCUAGAACAGAAAAAAUUAUCAAUGAUGAAUAGAUGCUACACUAGCUAAGCAGCUCAGAAAAAUGGUGCGCGAAGGUGCAAUUGAGCGAUCGUCUUGAGCUGAACUUGACAUCAUGUAUAAUUUUCAUCCUGAGCUCAGCGAAUGGAUAUACCCCAGAAGUUAAAGACUUCCUUACCUUCCCACCUGUAUUCCUUGCCUGUUCUAGCAUCUCUUAGCGUUAAUCCACUUGAGAGGGUUGCCUCCGUGGUUUAAGGAGAGUGGCGACCAUGUGGGGAGGGGGGUAGGUUUCGGUUCUUUGCGGCAAGGGGCUUUCUGGAAAUGGAAGGCGACCAGAAGGGGGAGGAUUCCGAUGGGGUGGGGCUAUGGUCAACGUUCUCCUUGGAGAUUCACAACAGCUGGUGCUUAUAAGGAUUGAGUGAGGGUUUUGAAGGGUGGAACCCUUGCACUCCUUUGGUGCGAGAGGACCUUCAUCAAGAGAUGGAGACGUAGUGUGCUGACGAGAGGCAAAGAUCAGAACAAUAGACGAGGGGAGAGGAGAGAGAUAGAGAUGGUGGGAGAGGGAGAGAGAUUGCAAAAUCUGGACCACAAGAGGAAAUCGUGGUUUUACUAAGGCCCAAACCAUCCAGACCGCCCAAACUGUUUCGAUUCUUGACCGGUUCGGUUUACUACGGCCCAAACUGCCCGAUUCGAGAUAGUUCGGACAACCAUACUUAGAACAUUAGGCUCUAAAGAGAUUUAAAGGAUUUUUUUAUAAAAGGUUCGACUAUGCUAGAGCUUGUAACUCAUAGCCACUUCUAUUUCAUUUCUUAUAUAGCCAUCAAUUGGGAAAUGACAUAUUAUACCCUAGACAUGUCCAAAAUUGUAUUUUUCAGGAAAAAAUUGUCUGUCAUAGUGUUAAACCCUCAAUAUGAGAAAUCCAAAGGUCCGGACGAUAUAAUAUAUUUUAAAUGUUAUUGUUUACGUAUUUUGUUUCUUUAUCAAUUUUUCCUAGUUGUAAUUGCCUCUUUAGAUUUUUAGAUAAAAUGGUCAAAAUUGGAGCCAGAACUUAAAUAGCAACCAAAUCCACUAAAGUUGCUGAAAGCAAAACUCAUUUGAUCUAAAGGAGAACAAAACUAAAACUAACUUUGCCAACCUUGCUGAAAAUAUAAACCAUCUAAGCUCGAAAAUAUGCUCUGAACAAGGAAGCCACCUUUUAAGUUGGUUAAUAAGACCCAUAUGGAUGUGAUUAUGUAUAUAAGCAUACAUUAUAUAUUGUGAUGCAUACAUGCAGAGGCAUACAAUAUGGAUAAUGUGUCGAAUAUUCAUAGGUACAUAGAUAUAUAUACAUAUGUUAGUAUCUAUCCAUCUUCCUAUGUUUAGUAUGAUGUAUGUGUCUACCUUUAAUUUUAUAUAUUUACAUAUAUAGAAAGAUGGUGUAUACAUACACAAACAGAUGGAGAUAUGCAUACAAAAAUACAUCAAUACCGAUACAUAACAUAUAUAUACAUAUACAUAAAAUAAAAUACAUAUAAUGAUAUAAACUGCUAGAAUUAUGUGUGCAGAAACCCUAUUAUUACUUAAAGUGCAUUCCUAAUUGGAAUUUGGCCAAUAAUUCUUGCCCUGUAAUGAAUGCAAUUUCCACUACUGAUCCUUGCCUUCUUUCAUUUUCUAGAUUCUUUCCAAGUCUAGGAGACCUGGAAGGUUUUUUCUCUUGAUCAUAUCAUCCCAAACUUCACAAUGGCAAGAUGAAUAUCCACACCCACCUAAAGGGACCUUAUAUUUUGUGGCAGGUUCGUCACUUUUCAAAGGAUGACCUAGUAAAAGUUUAGCACCUUUCUUUCUGUUUGAAAGCUAGUUGUGAAACUUUUCUCAAUCUCAAAGGUCUUGUUUAAGGUUAAACAUUAAGGGCAUGUUUGGUUGGGGAAAGUUGAACUCUAGAACGAAAAUGGAAAUGAGCGACUCCCAUUUGAACUAUUUGGUUGAGGAGAGUCCCAUCCCAUUUUGAUUCCAGGAGGAAAUGAGAAUGCUCCAAUCCUCCAAAACUCAAUCCCUACUCUUUCCUAGUAUUCAAAUUCAAUUCCGAUUCUGAUUCUGGACACAAACCAAACACGUUAGAACAAGAUCCACCGUACCGACAUAGCGGUGGGCGUCAGUACCGGUAUAGUACCGAACCGAACCG